RNAcentral lists this long non-coding RNA (303 nucleotides) under Elaeis guineensis (African oil palm). RNAcentral describes it as "long non-coding RNA (EGUI_LNC037979)". Lineage: Eukaryota; Viridiplantae; Streptophyta; Magnoliopsida; Arecales; Arecaceae. The record is from RNAcentral.
AUUGGCAUACUUCAGUCAAUUUUUUCACCUAGACUUUCCAGAGCUUGGCUUUGAAAGAUCGAACUUUAAGAGCUUGGCUUUCAGGAGCUCGCUUUUGGAGGGUUGGUCUUUAGAGGUCGACUUUUAGGAGGUCGGCUUAUAGAGGUCGGCCUUCUCAGAUCGACCUCUGGCUUCAUCUUGGCAUCGAACUUCCCUUCAACCUCAAUCUUUCAUCUAAGCUCAAUCUCAAUCUUGACUGUUGGCUUGAUAGCUUGAUCUUGAUCUUGAUCUUUGCUUUAGUUCAGUCUUGAUCUUUGUCUCGGC